This is an RNA transcript of Pungitius pungitius (ninespine stickleback), 1117 nucleotides long. RefSeq lists it as uncharacterized. NCBI's taxonomy places the organism in Eukaryota, Metazoa, Chordata, Actinopteri, Perciformes, Gasterosteidae. The record is from RefSeq and is a predicted model, not a curated record. The transcript has 5 exons.
UUUAGAAGAGCGAUUCAUCUUCAGUUCUACUUUCAUGGCAAUCCUGGGUGCUUCAAUCGGUGUAACCGUCUCUAUUGCUGGACUCAUCUUUGGGUUGAUCUGCAAAAGAAAACUUCUUGGGUGAGAGACUAAUAUAAACGUGUGUGUGUGUCUAUUUUGUGGUGCACUAACUCUGAUGACUUCUAAUUUUAAAGGUCAAAGUCAGCCGCACCACAGUCAUCUGUAUGUGAGACUCACGACUCUGUUGAAGACGACCCAGAUGACCCGUAUACCAGCCUCCAGCAACCAGCCGCUGACCUUUACCAGACCAUCUGCCACUCAAGAAGCUCUAAAGACCAGGAAGUAGACGGAGGAGACUCUGAUCAAAGUCACCAGGACACUUAUGAAUUUAUGACACCGCAAGCAGCACCAGGACUGUGACUUGUGUUUGCACUUGUUUAGGAUUCCUUUAAUAAGAUGUGAUGUAAGUAGAUGUUGAUGAGCUGAAGGAGCUUUUGAGUCACAUUUUAUUCUCUUGUACUCGUUUGAACAUACACACACCUUGUUAUGAGUUGGGGCCUUUCUGAUUGUCAUUGUUGUGGUACAAAGUGAAGAAUUUUGGUUCUUUUGGCCAUGAUUAUUAUCAAUGUUGUUAUUUUCAUAGUUAUUAAUAAUCAUGUUGAUUUUUCACGUUGAACUGACCGUGUUUCUCUACCUGACUGGUCUCACACCAGUGGACAGUGGGAACCACACCUGUGUGUGUUCAAGUCAUGGUGAGACCGUUACCCUCCAUCUGAAUAUCACUGUGGAAGAUGUUUCAGAGGAAGGAGAGAGAGAGAGCGGCGUGACGUCACACACGUGGGUUCUAAACGUGUUUAUCGCUGCAACAACAGUCAUUUCUAUAACUGCAGUUAUCUUUGGGUUGAUCUACAGGGUAACAAGACAUAGAAGACAAACACAACCGCUGCGCAGUCCUCAAAACAUGGAGCCGGAAGCCAUCGAGCCGUACAGCACCUUCAUGUGGAGGGACAGCGUGCUUUAUUCAACUGUCGGCCCACACAACUGUCCCAACAACAGGAACCAAUCAAACACGUCCACCACAGAGGACACACGUCCAGAGGCUCUUCUGUAGAGCUCG